This is a long non-coding RNA of Ictalurus punctatus (channel catfish), 2688 nucleotides long. NCBI's taxonomy places the organism in Eukaryota, Metazoa, Chordata, Actinopteri, Siluriformes, Ictaluridae. The record is from Ensembl.
UGUGUGUGUGCAUGUGUGUUCAUCAGGGAAUGAACCAGUGGGGGGCUUCCACACAACUUGUGUCACCCCAGAGACGGCAAUUAAAAUGACUCUGGAAGGCGUGUGUGUGUGUGUGUGUGUGUGUGUGUGUGUGUGUUUACAUACAUAUGCCACUCUGCGUGUAAGUGGGUUUUUGUGAAAUCUCCCCAGUACUUUGUUGCUGUAAUAAGACCCAUGAAAUAUUAACAUGCUCCUCUGGCAGAAUGCUUCAUAAAUUGUAUUCAGAUACUCACCACUCUCGCUUUCUCAUAAUUUAGAAGGAAAAAACACAAGAUGAAAAACAGUUAUUUAAAUCCCACGGAUGCACCCAAAGAUCUUAAUAUCACUUUAGCAUAUUGCAAUAUUGCAAGAUGAACAGAACCUGGUUGUUAAGUUGAUCCUGAGACAUGCAGUGACCUUCCUCUGAAUCUCAAAUCAUGGCCGUAGCUUGAGAGAGAGUGAAUACUACAUUAUCAUCCCAUUGUUGACCAAAAUGAUAUGUCUCCAAGUCUAUUUCAGGUAAGAUGUAGUAUUUUUGUAUCUACAUGAAGGUGGUUAGAGUCAGAUGUAUCUGUAUGAAGGUGGUUAGAGUCAGAUGUAUCUGUAUGAAGGUGGUUAGAGUCAGAUGUAUCUGUAUGAAGGUGGUUAGAGUCAGAUGUAUCUGUAUGAAGGUGGUUAGAGUCGGCUGUAUCUGUAUGAAGGUGGUUAGAGUCGGCUGUAUCUGUAUGAAGGUGGUUAGAGUCAGAUGUAUCUGUAUGAAGUUGGUUAGAGUCAGAUGUAUCUGUAAGAAGGUGGUUAGAGUCAGAUGUAUCUGUAAGAAGGUGGUUAGAGUCAGAUGUAUCUGUAUGAAGAUGGUUAGAGUCAGAUGUAUCUGUAUGAAGGUGGUUAGAGUCAGAUGUAUCUGUAUGAAGGUGGUUAGAGUCAGAUGUAUCUGUAUGAUACAUCAUCUGUAUGAGUCAGAUGUAUCUGUGACACAAGCAGUACAGCUAGCUAAAUGUGAGUUAUGAUGAUGACAUUUUCUUGGUAGUUGUGGUGUAAGUACCUUUGUCAUUGUCGCACGGCUACACGCUUACAGUGUAGGCUGUUUUUUUUACACUCCUCUAAAGUAAUCAGGCUGGUUUUUAUUUUAUUUUAAUCACGGAUUGUACACACUGUAUAUAACCAACAUAACUCUUUGACAUGCACAUCACACUAAUGCAUACGCUGUUAGUGCGUAUCCCGUUGCCGCCUCUUUGGAACUGUACUAGCGAGCCUACUUAAAAUGAUCCUCAUUUUCUUUUCCCCCUCCUCCGUUUUCUCCUGGAGUCCCACUCACGGUCAGCUCUCCCCAACAAAGAACAGCUCCCAUCCAGGGAGGACGAAGUCUCACAAGUGCUUCCUUCCAAGACACGUGGAACCAGCCAUUCCCAUCUUUUCAUAACACACUCAAAGGGAAGCGCAAUUUUGCUGUCAGGCUUUGAAUUCACAAUCUCCGGACAAUGAGGCAGAUGCUUUUGUGUCGCACCACUGCUAUUUGGGCCGGCCCUCUUUCUGUGUUAUAAAAUGGAGUAAAAGGGUCAGCGAUAAGGGUUCUGCUAAAAUCUCAGACUGUAAUAAGACACUGUGUAAAGGAAGUGCGUCCGUGGCCAGCGUUCUGCUUGAAUACCUCAUGUGUUCACUGACACUGAAGUGCAAGUUAAGUGUGUCAACAUGACCGGGGACAUAAUUAACUUAAUAAAUAAUAAAUAACCAAGCCCAAGUGGAUGCACAAUGGGAAAGGGGUGUUUGCCAUGUGUGUGUGUGUGUGUGUGUGUGUGUGUUUACUGAGCCCAUGUGUGCAAGUGAUUUAGAUAAGCCUGUGUAAUUGCCCUCAUUACUGCCACUGUGUUUGAGUAGCUUUGCCGUUCAGGCCGUAGCGGGGAUUGAGUGUGCGCCGCAAAGAGGUGCUCGAGCUCGCACGCAAACAAGGCUGGCCACGCGUGGGUUCGUCGCUUCCCCACAGGCGCGCACACACGCAAACACGAUAACAACUCAACAUGAGGUUAGCAGCUCUGCUGCUCUAUAAUUUACAGCCUUUCCAUUCAGAUCUUCCUACACACGCACAAAUGCAGACACUCCUGCCGUCUGAGUGAUGGCCUGCUAGCUCCGAGCGCGUGUGCUUAAUGUCACUGAUGCCGGGUCUGGACAAACGCUACGGAGAAAUCACCAGCACGCAGCAAGCUUCGCUGUCCUCUCAUCAAUCCUCCGCUCUAUUUAUAACACAUCCGCAGCUGUGAACAGAAGGAGCAAGCAAUUUUCAAAACAGGGACAGGUAGGGAGCAGGCAUGGACAGGAACACAUUCGGACUGUUGGCUUAUAUCGAGUACUGAACAUCAUCUGGUUCUACAACUAACAAAUGCAACUAGUUUGUUGUUCUACAACAACUAACUUCAUUGGAACUGACAGGCGCAUAGGCAACGCCCUUUUCACUUGGACUGACAGACACAGAGGCAACACCCCAUUUAUUGGGACGAACAGGCACGGCAGUCUUUCAACAAGAUAGGCAGAUAGAGAAGCCACGCCUCGUUCACUAAGGCAGGCAAAACUAUCAGGCCAUGCCUCUUUUACUGGGAUGGAGAGGCACAGAGGCUAUUCCCACUUAAAUGGGACUGAGGCAUAGAGGCCACACCUCCUUCACUGGGACAGACAGAC